RNAcentral lists this ribosomal RNA (253 nucleotides) under uncultured bacterium. Its description in RNAcentral is "partial 16S ribosomal RNA". It matches the Rfam family "Bacterial small subunit ribosomal RNA", at positions 524 to 776 of the family's 1533-position model. The record is from RNAcentral.
UACGAAGGGGGCUAGCGUUGCUCGGAAUCACUGGGCGUAAAGCGCACGUAGGCGGCUUUUUAAGUCAGGGGUGAAAUCCUGGAGCUCAACUCCAGAACUGCCUUUGAUACUGAGAAGCUUGAGUCCGGGAGAGGUGAGUGGAACUGCGAGUGUAGAGGUGAAAUUCGUAGAUAUUAGGAAGAACACCGGUGGCGAAGGCGGCCCACUGGAUCGGUACUGACGCUGAGGUGCGAAAGCGUGGGGAGCAAACAGG